CCCUUAGAUGUUCUGGGCCGCACGCGCGCUACACUGAUGCAUUCAACAAGCCUAGCCUUGACCGAGAGGUCCGGGUAAUCUUUGAAACUGCAUCGUGAUGGGGCUAGAUUAUUGCAAUUAUUAAUCUUCAGCGAGGAAUGCCUAGUAAGCGUGAUUCAUCAAAUCGCGUUGAUUACGUCCCUGCCCUUUGUACACACCGCCCGUCGCUCCUACCGAUUGAAUGUGUUGGUGAGGAGCUCGGAUUGGCAGCAGUUGGUGGUUCGCCACCGGCUAUUGCUGAGAAGUCCUCCAAACCGCCCCAUUUAGAGGAAGGAGAAGUCGUAACA
RNAcentral lists this ribosomal RNA (326 nucleotides) under uncultured eukaryote. Its description in RNAcentral is "partial 18S ribosomal RNA". It matches the Rfam family "Eukaryotic small subunit ribosomal RNA", at positions 1470 to 1796 of the family's 1831-position model. The record is from RNAcentral.